This 786-nucleotide ribosomal RNA is filed under the name uncultured bacterium. RNAcentral describes it as "bacterial SSU rRNA". It matches the Rfam family "Bacterial small subunit ribosomal RNA", at positions 62 to 897 of the family's 1533-position model. The record is from RNAcentral.
UCGAGCGCCCCGCAAGGGGAGCGGCAGACGGGUGAGUAACGCGUGGGAGCGUACCCUCCGGUUCGGAAUAACUCAGGGAAACUUGAGCUAAUGCCGGAUACGGCUGAGAGGCGAAAGAUUUAUCGCCGGGGGAUCGGCCCGCGUCCGAUUAGCUAGUUGGUGUGGUAACGGCGCACCAAGGCGACGAUCGGUAGCUGGUCUGAGAGGAUGAUCAGCCACAUUGGGACUGAGACACGGCCCAAACUCCUACGGGAGGCAGCAGUGGGGAAUAUUGGACAAUGGGCGCAAGCCUGAUCCAGCCAUGCCGCGUGAGUGAUGACGGCCUUAGGGUUGUAAAGCUCUUUCGCCAGGGACGAUAAUGACGGUACCUGGAUAAGAAGCCCCGGCUAACUUCGUGCCAGCAGCCGCGGUAAUACGAAGGGGGCUAGCGUUGUUCGGAAUUACUGGGCGUAAAGCGCGUGUAGGCGGGUCUUUAAGUCAGGGGUGAAAUGCCAAGGCUCAACCUUGGAACUGCCUUUGAUACUGGAGAUCUUGAGUCCGGGAGAGGUGAGUGGAACUGCGAGUGUAGAGGUGAAAUUCGUAGAUAUUCGCAAGAACACCAGUGGCGAAGGCGGCUCACUGGCCCGGAACUGACGCUGAGACGCGAAAGCGUGGGGAGCAAACAGGAUUAGAUACCCUGGUAGUCCACGCUGUAAACGAUGGAUGCUAGCAGUUGGGGAGCUUGCUCUUCAGUGGCGCCGCUAACGCAUUAAGCAUCCCGCCUGGGGAGUACGGUCGCAAGAUUAA